Non-coding RNA from Oryzias latipes (Japanese medaka), 2966 nucleotides. NCBI's taxonomy places the organism in Eukaryota, Metazoa, Chordata, Actinopteri, Beloniformes, Adrianichthyidae. The record is from RefSeq and is a predicted model, not a curated record.
UGUUUCUAUUUUUUUUUUUUUUUUGCUUGUAAUAUGAGCUGUUUCUAGCGAUGACCUUUUACAUGCUGUCUGUGUCCUUUGCUUUCUCAUGUUAGCUGGUUACCUGCCACUUCAUUAUUGCCAGUGGACCAACGUCAAUGGAAAACCAUCUCGAUGCUACAUAUCAGCUCGCCACCACACCACCAACAGCCUUUGUCGCUGGUUUGGUGGUAUGAACUGGGAGCUGUUACCACUGUGUGCAGUUCUUACUGGUAAUGACUACGCAACUCCUAAGGGACUGAGAUGCUGCUUUCUCUGAUAAACUCUCACGCAGGCAGCAGUGGCGGAAGACGUACAGGUGGAUCAUCUAGUUCUCGCAUCGAGGGUCUCCUCAUUUGGCUGUCCUCUUUUUCCAACGUGGCAGAGGCUCUUGAAGAGGUGAGCAGGGUUAUGGGGGAGGAAGGCAGUGGAAGAAAGAGAGGAAAGAACACUGAAAAAACUGGAAAAGUGGGGGUUUUCGAUUUACAAAUACUAAAUAUGAACAAAUUAUGUUAAUCUUCGAAACAUAAUAUAAUCUUGAAAAUCACACAUAAUUCUUGCUGUGUUACCUUUAUAUAUUUAAAUCAUGUUGACAAAACAUGAAAUAGUUAUGCUUGAUCCUUUGCCCCUUAAAUUUGGAUAAGUAAACCCCAUAUGUCAAGAAGCAUUCCAGGAGGAGAAACUUUGCAGUCAGCCAUUUUAGAGAAGCUGCAUGGCUGGAGGAACUUGUUAAAGGCGCAGCCCUCGACGGCAGGUAGGGGGAGGUGUGCACGGUAUGUUGGACUUCCACGUCGCAGGCAGAUUCAGCUGUAAACGCGGUGAUUUCCAAUGAUGUGCGGGGAAGAGUGAGCUCAUCGCACACUACCAACUGUCCUCCCUGAUGCUGGGGUCCAUGCUCCAGUCUUCACUGAGUCAGACUGCUGACCUUCUCGCCAAUAUAUGCAAGUGCAGGGGUUUAUUCAAAGUACAGAAUGAAGACAAUGCAGCAAUCCAGGAGGCAAUUGAGGACACCACGGUGGGAAUUUCCCUCCUAAUGGAAUGUGGCAGUGGUGGGGAAGAGGACAUUCUCGUGGUCCACAUCUCCCAGGCUGUGGUGGUCAACCCACCAAGUGUCAGAGUGGCAGUUGCCAUGCUGCUUGGCCUUAUUUACAACAUAAAUCUGGAUUACCCUCCUCAUCUCAGAAACACCUUUGAGCUUCUACUGCAGAAAAGCAAGAAAGAGCAACUCAAGGAAGAGGUGGAGGCAAUCCAUUUGGGAGAACUAAAGGAGGAAGAGGGCAGGGAGGCAGCGGUCAGUCCGGCACUGAACAGAUGGGCUUUAGGGCAGCAAGUACAGAAGUGAUUUUGGUUGAAGAGUAGGACCGUUUGGACGUAAACCUGAAAAGAAAACAAGUGGAGGCAUGCAACCCCAGGAAGCAUGCACAUGUAAACAAACUCUGCCAGGGGCCUGAGGCUGAGCGGCUCGGUGGCCUGUUGGAUGUUCUGGUCGUGAACGACUCCGUCCUGGCUCCUGUUCCUGCCCACCUGCGGCUGGCAAUGGCAGUCACGGGAAGCAGUACCACCACCUUCACAAAACGUGCUGCAGGCUUUGGUUCUGGGCAUGAUCUUUGGUGAGCUGUCACUAAAUAGCCAGUCUGGAGCUCCUCAACACCGCCAUGCUGGUUAGUUAAGCCAAUUUUGUUCUUUUAAGUUUCAAAUUUACUUGCAAUUUAUCUUCCAUAAGUGAAAACAGGCAAAAGACUUUUAUGAACUGUAUAUGCCAGCCCCACAGCAUAACUGUACUGCACAGCGAAAUCUAAUAAAUCGACAACGAGUGAGACCAGGGGAGAGACGAGGAGUUGAUUUUGGGGCAGCCCACAGUAACACCAGACAGUUGCAUUCCUUCUUAUUGUUCAUUUUGUACAUUUUUUUUAAAUAUAAGGAUGUAGUAUACUCUACUAUUUUCAUGUUGUAUCAUAUUUUUACAUAAGAAAAAAAUAUUCACAGGGGCUAUCAAGUGUGGCAUUCGAAUAGCUUGACACAAGGCAGGAUGGAUCCAUGCUUUGAUGUUGUUGACGCCAAAUUCUGAUGCUACCAUCCAAAUGUCCCCUAAUAAUUAAUGAAUGAUGCUGUAACGGGGGAUCGGGGGAGACAAGGACCAGGAGCAGGAAGAAAAGACACCGAUCCAAAAUCCAAGUAGAGGGCUUUAAUGCCAAGAGCUAAACCAACUCGAAAAGGAGUAUAGGAAGAAAACGAUCUGUCACAGCACCUCAGAAACUUGAUCCUGAAAUAGAAUAAAAUGAUAAUGAAUCAAAUGAAACACACCUGUGAUUCUCUCAGGACCUCAAGAAGGGGAGGACCUCCAGGAGAGAUCACAGCAGAACAAAAGUCAGGCCUUCACAUGACAGAUGCCUGAUAAAGUGGCCAGAUUUUCAGUGGUUCUUUGGUACAUGGCCUCCUGAUGUACCUGAAAGGUGGCAAGCCUGCAGAGUCGCUGCUAACUGAGGGGUCAUUCUGCUGGAUGAUGUGAGGAACUGCAACAUCAGAGCGAAUCCUCGCUCUUCAGCAUCCAACAAGAGAGGAAGAGGCAGAAGAGGACGACAGAGAGGUGGAAGAGGGGCUCUUGGUGGGGGUAGAGGUGGAGAAGAGAUCAGCAACAGUACAGGAGUGAGUGACCACGGGAGCAUUUCGGGCAGGCAACUCAGGCAGGCGUUUACUACGGUCUCUCCCCUAGGGUGGUUCAGUUAAUCAAACUCACCUGUUCAGCAUCCUAUUUAAGUCCAGGUGUGGAAGUUGUUUAUCCUUCUUUACUGCAGCACUGUGUUCUUCGGAAUGUGAAAUGGCAAUUAUAAAGGAACGUUAAAUGCUAACUAAGAGGAAUGUGAAAUGUUUACCUAAAGGAAAGAGAAUGUCAAACAAAGAAUGUGAACGCAAAUGAAAAGAUGUGAAAUAAAUAUUUUAUUGCAUGA